This 406-nucleotide ribosomal RNA is filed under the name uncultured bacterium. Its description in RNAcentral is "partial 16S ribosomal RNA". It matches the Rfam family "Bacterial small subunit ribosomal RNA", at positions 30 to 526 of the family's 1533-position model. The record is from RNAcentral.
AUUGAACGCUGGCGGCAGGCCUAACACAUGCAAGUCGAACGAGGGGCGGACGGGUGAGUAAUGUCGGGGAAACUGCCUGAUGGAUGGGGAUAACUACUGGAAACGGUAGCUAAUACCGCAUACCAUCCGAUGUUCCCUGGUGGGGUUAGCUUGUUGGUGGGGUAACGGCUCACCAAGGCGACGAUCCAUAGCUGGUCUGAGAGGAUGACCGGCCACACUGGAACUGAGACACGGUCCAGACUCCUACGGGAGGCAGCAGUGGGGAAUAUUGCACAAUGGGCGCAAGCCUGAUACAGCCAUGCCGCGUGUAUGAAGAAGGCCUUCGGGUUGUAAAGUACUUUCAGCGGGGAGGCGUUACCCGCAGAAGAAGCACCGGCUAACUCCGUGCCAGCAGCCGCGGUAAUAC